This 60-nucleotide microRNA precursor is filed under the name Podarcis lilfordi (Lilford's wall lizard). Lineage: Eukaryota; Metazoa; Chordata; Lepidosauria; Squamata; Lacertidae. The record is from RNAcentral.
GUAUUCAUGGUCAGGCAAAUGCCUGGGUAAACACCCAAGCAUUUGCCUGACCAUGAAUAC